UACAGAGGGUGCAAACGUUGUUCGGAAUUACUGGGCGUAAAGCGCGUGUAGGCGGCAGGGCAUGUCGGAUGUGAAAUCCCGUGGCUCAACCACGGAAGUGCACCCGAAACUGCCCAGCUUGAGUCUCGGAGAGGAAGGCGGAAUGCUUGGUGUAGAGGUGAAAUUCGUAGAUAUCAAGCGGAACACCGGUGGCGAAGGCGGCCUUCUGGACGAUGACUGACGCUGAGACGCGAAAGCGUGGGGAGCGAACCGG
RNAcentral lists this ribosomal RNA (253 nucleotides) under uncultured bacterium. Its description in RNAcentral is "partial 16S ribosomal RNA". It matches the Rfam family "Bacterial small subunit ribosomal RNA", at positions 524 to 776 of the family's 1533-position model. The record is from RNAcentral.